GAGCUGCUCCCUCCGUUCCGAAUUACUUGUCUUAGAUUUGUCUAGAUACGGAUGUAUCUAGCACUAAAAUGAGUCUAGAUGCAUCCGUAUCUAGACAAAUCCAAGACAAGUAAUUCGGAACGGAGGGAGUACACU
Molecule: non-coding RNA, 135 nt
Organism: Triticum aestivum (bread wheat)
Lineage: Eukaryota; Viridiplantae; Streptophyta; Magnoliopsida; Poales; Poaceae
Source: Rfam